GUGCUGGCUUUGGCAGCGCAUACACUAAAAUUGGACCGAUACUGAGAAGAUUAGCAUGGUCUCUGUGCAAUAAUGACAGGCAAAUUUGUGAAGUGUUCCAUAUUUUG
Neogale vison (American mink) is the source of this 107-nucleotide small nuclear RNA. NCBI's taxonomy places the organism in Eukaryota, Metazoa, Chordata, Mammalia, Carnivora, Mustelidae. The record is from Ensembl.